UAGUGACCUUAACGCUUGUAAAACGUGCAAUGCUGCGCGUUUUAUGACGUUGUAUGAGUUCAUAUCUGAGGCCAGUGAACGCAGCAUCACCCUCUGAACUCUAAAGGUCAUGAGGUCAGGAGACCGUUAAUUAAAUUAUAAGUCUGUCUGAGCAUAGAACCGACUCUUUGACGGAAUCGACUCCCUGCCGUGUUGCUCGUGAAGACGUUUUCAAACGCUCUUUUCUGUUAGCGCUUCAAGCAAUCAAUAUCAAAAUCCACUAUCUGGCCAAAAGUAUGCGGACACCUGAUUAUCACACCUGAGCUUGUUGGAUGUCCCACACC
Ictalurus punctatus (channel catfish) is the source of this 323-nucleotide long non-coding RNA. Lineage: Eukaryota; Metazoa; Chordata; Actinopteri; Siluriformes; Ictaluridae. The record is from Ensembl.